GACGAGCGCUGGCGGCGUGCCUAAUACAUGCAAGUUGAGCGCUGAAGGUUGGUACUUGUACCAACUGGAUGAGCAGCGAACGGGUGAGUAACGCGUGGGGAAUCUGCCUUUGAGCGGGGGACAACAUUUGGAAACGAAUGCUAAUACCGCAUAAAAACUUUAAACACAAGUUUUAAGUUUGAAAGAUGCAAUUGCAUCACUCAAAGAUGAUCCCGCGUUGUAUUAGCUAGUUGGUGAGGUAAAGGCUCACCAAGGCGAUGAUACAUAGCCGACCUGAGAGGGUGAUCGGCCACAUUGGGACUGGGACACGGCCCAAACCCCUACGGGAGGCAGCAGUAGGGAAUCUUCGGCAAUGGACGAAAGUCUGACCGAGCAACGCCGCGGGAGUGAAGAAGGUUUUCGGAUCGUAAAACUCUGUUGGUAGAGAAGAACGUUGGUGGGAGUGGAAAGCUCAUCAAGUGACGGUAACUACCCAGAAAGGGACGGCUAACUACGUG
RNAcentral lists this ribosomal RNA (497 nucleotides) under uncultured bacterium. Its description in RNAcentral is "partial 16S ribosomal RNA". It matches the Rfam family "Bacterial small subunit ribosomal RNA", at positions 28 to 507 of the family's 1533-position model. The record is from RNAcentral.